ACAGGAGAGUUCGUGCCCGCGACAAGCUCUGAGGAUGUCUGCUGUUUCACCAUCUUUAUUGUCUUCGUGGCAAAGCAAAUAAAUACGGUCUCAAUUUAAGAGGAAAGUGAUGUUUGGUUUUCCUAGGAAAAGUUCUCGUGCAACAGCAGACCGUGAGUUUUUUACACUGCAGACAAGAUCACAUGAAAGGUUGCUGAUAAUGGGAGGUGCUGGGAGGUUUGUGGCUGUGUCUGCUGUGUAACUCUCACCAGAAUUCAGUGACGCUCUACGGAUCUCUCAAGCCCAGAGUAACAUCAUGAGAAUGCUCAAGAUCUAUCCUCAUGGGUUGAGAAUUGGAAAUUGAAACGGCCACACGUGAAGACUUUAAUACCAGCAGGGGGUGCUACAACCAUGUCUCCCGAACUUGGAACUUUUAAGUCUCCACAAACUGAAUGUCCUUUCCAACUCAAAGUACGGAGUCUAUUCACAGAGAAUAAGAAAAUCUGAACUGCCUUGGUAAUUGUGUAUCUCAGUAGGAAGAUAGUAAGCUUGCGGUUGAGGAUGAACCUUCGCAAAGUUGAGCUACGUCAAACCAUUAAAACUGGCGUUAUUGCUCACUAUACACUCUUGCCGGUGAAGAUUAUUUGAAUAUCCAGUUCUUCGGCGAGCACAUUGUUUGAGGUUCAUUUUCUUAUAUGGAGAAGCCAUGUGCGGUUUCCCAGAGCUGCAGUUGUGGCAGUCGGCAGGCGAGUGGCAAUCCAUAAACUUUAUCCAUACUUCUAUAAUGGCCUGGAUCUAGGUUUUGCUAAGUCUAUAGCGACACCCCUAAAACACUGUAGAUAUUUACUGCACUUGUGGUAGCAGCAUGCUUCUUCACUAAAACUAUUUAAAGACAAGUAUCAUGAGAGACGGCUGAUUCUGAAGCGAAAUGAUUUAGAUUCCAUGCCACAGAUACCAGACAUGCCAGUCAUAUGCGUGGAAGGCAUGGGUAUGUGGCUGAAGCCCAUGGAGCAUGACGAUUGAGAGCACGCCUGGAGCUAUGCUGAAAUACCAGCUUUGCCACCAGUUAUCGUGUGAACUUUACUGCUCACUCUUACUGUAAUUCUGGUGGCUGUCACAAUCCCACAGGGAACGCUGUGGAAGUAGAAAUGUUGAACUCUUCUUUUUAUGAGAUGCCUAUGCACAAUCAUUUGAAAACUCUUGAUUUUAACAGUAACACAGCCGUCCUAAUCUGCAAAGCUAAAGACAUUAAGAAUACCCAUGGAUGGUGUGAUAGUUAAAAGACUGCAUCCUUCUUAACCCAAUGCCUAGCAUCAUGAGCUCAAAAAUGUUAGAUACGAAUUAGUUCUUAAUGCAUUCAGUGGAUUUGUUUUUUAAAUUAUAAAAUCUCCCUGUGCUGGAAGCUUAGAAACUUGCCUGCCUUUUUUGACCCGCGGGAAAGUAAAGGUAAUGUUUGCAUUCCCCAAAUACUGGGUUUUCUGAUUUAUGUGAGAAUAAAGG
This 1479-nucleotide small RNA is filed under the name Rattus norvegicus (Norway rat). Its description in RNAcentral is "uncharacterized LOC108351767". Lineage: Eukaryota; Metazoa; Chordata; Mammalia; Rodentia; Muridae. The record is from RNAcentral.